AGUGAACGCUGGCGGUAGGCCUAACACAUGCAAGUCGAACGGCAGCACAGUAAGAGCUUGCUCUUACGGGUGGCGAGUGGCGGACGGGUGAGGAAUACAUCGGAAUCUACUUUUUCGUGGGGGAUAACGUAGGGAAACUUACGCUAAUACCGCAUACGACCUACGGGUGAAAGCAGGGGAUCUUCGGACCUUGCGCGAUUGAAUGAGCCGAUGUCGGAUUAGCUAGUUGGCGGGGUAAAGGCCCACCAAGGCGACGAUCCGUAGCUGGUCUGAGAGGAUGAUCAGCCACACUGGAACUGAGACACGGUCCAGACUCCUACGGGAGGCAGCAGUGGGGAAUAUUGGACAAUGGGCGCAAGCCUGAUCCAGCCAUACCGCGUGGGUGAAGAAGGCCUUCGGAUUGUAAAGCACUUUUGUUGGGAAAGAAGAGCAGCAGGUUAAUACCCCGCUGUUCUGACGGUACCCAAAGAAUAAGCACCGGCUAACUUCGUG
Molecule: ribosomal RNA, 492 nt
Filed under: uncultured bacterium
Lineage: Bacteria
Description: partial 16S ribosomal RNA
Rfam family: Bacterial small subunit ribosomal RNA
Source: RNAcentral